This 301-nucleotide ribosomal RNA is filed under the name uncultured bacterium. RNAcentral's name for it is "partial 16S ribosomal RNA". It matches the Rfam family "Bacterial small subunit ribosomal RNA", at positions 509 to 809 of the family's 1533-position model. The record is from RNAcentral.
CAGCAGCCGCGGUAAUACGUAGGGUGCGAGCGUUAAUCGGAAUUACUGGGCGUAAAGCGUGCGCAGGCGGUUCGUUAAGACAGAUGUGAAAUCCCCGGGCUUAACCUGAGAACUGCAUUUGUGACUGGCGAGCUAGAGUAUGGCAGAGGGGGGUAGAAUUCCACGUGUAGCAGUGAAAUGCGUAGAGAUGUGGAGGAAUACCGAUGGCGAAGGCAGCCCCCUGGGCCAAUACUGACGCUCAUGCACGAAAGCGUGGGGAGCAAACAGGAUUAGAUACCCGUGUAGUCCCUGUCUCUUAUAA